UAUCAAGCUACUACGAGCUUAUAGUGGAUGGCUAGGCUGAGGUAGGCGAUGAAGGGCGUGGCAAACUGCGAUAAGCUACGGGGAGGUGUAAGCAACCUGUGAUCCGUAGAUUCCCGAAUGGGGAAACCCGUCAGAAGUAAUGUUCUGACAUCUUUCCUUGGAAAAGGAAAGGGGCGAACCUGGAGAAGUGAAACAUCUCAGUAUCCAGAGGAAAAGAAAUCGUAAGAGAUUCCCUUAGUAGCGGCGAGCGAAAAGGGAAGAGCCCAAAUUUAACAGGUGUAAAAGCCUGCCGGCGUUGCCUGUUAGAGGUCGUGGGGUUCUUACGGAAAACGCGGCAGAGUUUUCGGGAAGUUAUCAAUCCUCUUUGUAUCCGAAUCUACUGGAAAGUAGAGCCAUAGAAGGUGAAAGCCCUGUAGGAGAAACAAAGAGGACUUCCUGGUAAGGAUUCCCAAGUACCACGAGGCACGGGAAACCUUGUGGGAAUUUGCCCUGACCACAGGGUAAGGCUAAAUACUCACCUCAGACCGAUAGUGAACUAGUACCGUGAGGGAAAGCUGAAAAGACCCCCGGUGAGGGGUGUGAAAUAGAACCUGAAACUAUAAGCUCACAAAGCGGUCGGAGUCCGCCUCAGGCGGAUGACGGCGUACCUUUUGCAUAAUGGUCCAGGGAGUUAUCCUACUCUACAAAUCUAAGUCUUCUGUGAAAGCAGAAGAUGGAGGUAGAGGGAAACCGAGUAUGAAUAGUGCGGUUAAGUAGAGUGGGAUAGACUCGAAGCCAGUCGAUCUACCCAUGACCAGGGUGAAACCCUGAGAAAUCAGGGUGGAGGCCCGAACCGGUGUAGGUUGAAAACUGCUCGGAUGAGUUGUGGGUAGGAGUGAAAGGCUAACCAAGACUGGUGAUAGCUAGUUCUCCUCGAAAUAGCUUUAGGGCUAGCCUCAAGGUUGCCCUUAGGGGGUAGAGCACAGGAUGGGCUAGGGUUCGCUAAGCGGAUACCAAACCCAACCUAACUCCGAAUACCUAAGGAGUGUACCUUGGGAGUAAGACUGCGAGGGAUAAGCUUCGUAGUCGAAAGGGAAACAGCCCGGACCGCCAGCUAAGGUCCCUAAAAGUAAACUAAGUGGUAAAGGAUGUGGAGUCACUAAGACAGCCGGGAUGUUGGCUUAGAGGCAGCCAUCAUUUAAAGAGUGCGUAAUAGCUCACCGGUCGAGUGGCUCUGCGCCGAAGAUGAUCGGGGCUUAAGUUUACUACCGAAGCUGCGGGUCGCUAAGGAUUUAUUCCGAGGCGGCGGUAGAGGAGCAUUCUGUAAACGCUGAAGCUCUCACGUAAGUGAGGGUGGAGUUUACAGAAGAGAGUAUCCUGGAAUGAGUAGCGAAAACUCCGAUGAGAAAUCGGAGCGCCGAAAUCCUAAGGUUUCUCCGUCAAUGUUAAUCAAACGGAGGUUAGGCGGUCCCUAAGUUGAACCCGCAUCAAGCGGGGUAGACGAUGGGAAAGUGGGUUAAUAUUCCCACCCUACCUAUAAACGCUAACUUAAAAAGUGACGCAUAAGGUGCGGUGAGCGAACUGUUGGAUGUGUUCGUCCUUGCCUUUAUAAAAAGGCAGGGGGAGCCUGCGCUACGGCAAAGGCGAACUCACCAGAACCGAGUGCCAAGAAAGAGCUUUUUAAGUUGUUUAUAGGUGACCGUACCGGAAACCGACACAGGUAGGAUGCCAGAAUAUGGUAAGGCGCUCGGGAGAACCCUCGCUAAGGAACUCGGCAAGUUAGCCCCGUAAGUUUGCGAGAAGGGGUCCCCAAUGAAUCCCUAUUUUUGUAGGGAGUAAAUUGGGGCGCAGUGAAGUGGCUCCCGGGACUGUUUAGCAAAAACACAGGUCCCUGCUUAACUCGCAAGAGGAUGUAUAGGGACUGAGACCUGCCCAGUGCCGGAAGGUUAAGGGGAUCUGUUUCAAAAGCAGAGAACCGAAGCCCCGGUGAACGGCGGCUGUAACUAUAACAGUCCUAAGGUAGCGAAAUUCCUAGUCGGGUAAGUUCCGACCCGCACGAAAGGUUUAACAACGGGAGCACUGUCUCGGCGAGGAUCCCGGUGAAAUUGUAGUGGCGGUGAAGAUGCCGUCUACUCGCAGUGGGACGAAAAGACCCCGGAACCUUUACUGCAGGCUGGUAUUGAAUUUUGGUUCAAUAUGUGUAGGAUAGGUGGGAGGCAGAGAAGUUCUCGCGCUAGCGGGAAUGGAGCCGACGGUGAAAUACCACCCUUAUUGUACUAAAAUUCUAACCCCUUUUUAAAAACAAAAGGGGGAAAGUGCCAGUUGGGCAGUUUAACUGGGGCGGUUUCCUCCUAAAGAGUAACGGAGGAGCCCAAAGGUAGGCUCAGGUGGAUUGGAAACCCAUCGUUGAGUGUAAAGGCAUAUGCCUGCCUGACUGUGAGGCCGACAGGCUGAACAGAGCGGAAACGCGGGCUUAGUGAUCCGGUGGUUGCACGUGGGAGCGCCAUCGCUCAACGGAUAAAAGGUACUCCGGGGAUAACAGGCUGAUCGGGCCCGAGAGUUCACAUCGACGGCCCGGUUUGGCACCUCGAUGUCGGCCGGAGAGUAGGGUAAUACCGAGGGAAGGUGGGUAAUUAUUCCUCUGAUAACUUUGCUUAUAUUACUCUGAUGAAGGAAAAAUUGGUAAAGGGGUAUAAUUACCUUACCCCCGUAGAGACUUCUUCCCUAUGAGGAAGGGAGUCAUCCCCUGAAGAAGUUUUCUUCAAAUCUAUGGGAUGGCUAAUACGCCAACCUCCUCUUUCUUUAACCAGAAAGAGGAUGAAGGUAUAGUCCAUGCCACUGGUAACAGUGGAGGAACAUGCGUGAGACAGUUCGGUCUCUAUCCACUGUGAGUGCAAGGAUUCCUGAAGAGGGGCUAUCCCUAGUACGAGAGGACCGGGAUAGGGAAACCGCCGGUGUACCAGCUAUCGCGCCAGCGGUAAAGGCUGGGUAGCCGUGUUUCUACGAGAUAACCGCUGAAGGCAUCUAAGCGGGAAGCUUUCCUCAAAACUAGGAAUCCCUUCCUGUCCUUUACGGGACAGGAUGAAGGCCGGUGGGAGACUACCACCUAAAUAGGAUAUCAGUGUAAGCACAGUAAUGUGUUGAGCUGAAUAUUCCUAAUGGCCGAUCGGCUUGAUAUC
This is a non-coding RNA of Candidatus Omnitrophica bacterium 4484_70.1, 3158 nucleotides long. The record is from Rfam. Lineage: Bacteria; Pseudomonadati; Candidatus Omnitrophota.